RNAcentral lists this ribosomal RNA (508 nucleotides) under Saccocirrus sp. BC-2003. RNAcentral describes it as "partial 16S ribosomal RNA". It matches the Rfam family "Bacterial large subunit ribosomal RNA", at positions 1829 to 2600 of the family's 2925-position model. The record is from RNAcentral. Lineage: Eukaryota; Metazoa; Annelida; Polychaeta; Saccocirridae.
UGCCUCAUGACACCCUAUAUGAGGUAAAUCCUGCCCACUGAAUAAUUUUUAACGGCCGCGGUACCCUGACCGUGCAAAGGUAGCAUAAUCAUUUGCCUUUUAAUUGAGGGCUAGUAUGAAUGGACCAACGAGAGUGACCCUGUCUCUUCUUACCAAAUAAAAAAUAACCUGCAGGUGCAGAGGCCUGCAUUUAAAUGAAAGACAAAAAGACCCUAUCGAGCUUAACUUAACCUCUAGACAUAUACCUUAUAUUAAAACCAGAACCUAGGGUAAAGAUUUGUUGGGGCGACACAAGAGCAAACAAAACCUCUAUCUACGACACGGCCACUCGCGCCACUACAUGACCCGGUCUCACCGAUCAAAGGACUAAGCUACCGUAGGGAUAACAGACUAAUCCUUUCUGAGAGCCCAUAUUGACGAAAGGGAUUGGCACCUCGAUGUUGGCUUAGAACCCCCCUAAAUCGCAGCAGAUUUAUCGGUUGGUUUGUUCAACCAUUAAAGUUCUACG